ACCAAAAACUAAACCAAAUUACCACCACCACCACCAAAAAACAAACAAACCCCAGACCAAAAACCAACUAUCCAAACAAAAAGGCUCAUUUAGCUCACAGUUCAGGAGGUUCAAGGGGCACGGCUGUUCACCGGCAUCGACUCAGUUCUGGUGAGACUUUAUAGUGGAUGAAUAAUAGCAUGUGAAAGUCACAUGGCGAGACUAGAAGCUGGAGGGUAACCAGUGAGGGCCAGACCUGCUCUUUCAUAACAACCUCUCCUGAAAACAAGUGAGGGUCUCAUGAGAACUUUACCAAUUCCUCCCAAGGGCAACUCCCCACAACCCAAUUAUUUGACACUGAGCCCUGCCUCUUAAAGCACACACUACUUCCCUGACAUUGCCACCCUAGGGACCAAGCUCACAGCACGUGGACCCUGGAGACACACUGACACUGCAAGGGAAUCCUAGCCCUUCCUGAUGCAUGUUAGCUCAUAUGGAGCUGGAACGCCCCAUCUGCUGCAGCUGACCUCCCCAGGUCUCAGUAAUUCCCUCCCGGCCAGCUUGCUUGCCUUUGCACAUGGUGACUUUGGAUUGCUCUUCUUUGCUUGAGACCUGUGUGUUUUCAACACUGUUGUCCAGGGCCAUCCUAGUCUGGCUCCAGGUCAGCUCUGGUCCCAAAUAUUUAAGAACCUAUGAGGUGCCAGGGUUUUGGACUUGGUUAGGGGAAUUCAGAAAAUAUGGAUGGCUGGUCAUUGAAAACAUUUAGCCCAGAGUGAUCUCUCUUCAAACUUGUACUUAAAAUACACACGGAAGUACUGAAAAUGGCCAAAAACCAAUGCAAGAAUGCCCAGGAACAGGGUCAACAAUGGCUAGCUUUGACCAGGGCUCCCAUUAUCUUCAGCAACAAUGAGGGAUCCAGAAGUACAAUUGGGGACAUUUUCAUUGUUAGUGGCUCAGUUGGCCAGAGGUGGAAGAAGCCUUGACUCUAGUCAAGGUUUAAAGAAGUCACUGAGCCCAGCUGAGCAGUCCCUUUCUUCUGGGUGCCUGUCAGUCUGGACUCUUGUCUCCCAUCCUGCUUGCUAUAGAGACAGACAGACAAAAGCUCAGGCAGGUGACACUGCAUGGUAAAAGGUGUAGGACAAUAGUAAGUACACUGCUGCUGGCAGAGCCCAGACAAGCCUGGCUUUGCCUUCCAGGUAGAACUCUGGGUGAAAGAAUGAUCCCCUAAUUCACAGGAAUUCACUUUCCCCAGGAAUGUCAGAAAAAACUGGUUCUCUCAAAUGGAAGGUCACACAAAAGCAAGUGCCUGACACUGGCCAUGGCAUUGGGCCUGGAGAGAGCUGGCUUUGCUUUUAGCUUUAGGUCCCCAGGGGGUACUUUAGGGGACCAGGGGUCAGGGGACAGGCAAAGAAAGUGACCCCAUCCCAUGCUCUCACCCGCAAAGGUCUUCUUUAUGGAGUCAUUUGAAUAGAAACACUGAACCAAUGAAUGUGGUCUGAACUGCACACACUGAUUACAGCUGAAAAUACAAUUUUUGAAAAUGUUAUUUUUAGGAAGAAAUAAACAAUGAUCUAAGGAUUGGCAUUUCAUGCUUUCCAUGAGCUAUAAGGAUAUAUGUAAUUAUUAGGUUUGCUAAGGGUGACAAGAAGGACAAUAGGGUGAGGGACAAGCCCAACUGGAAAGGCCAUCUCUGGUAGAGGGGAAGGCUAUCCAGUUGUUCACUGCCCACAGAGCUUGGUUCUCCAUUUGGCAGUGAGGGAGAACAGAGCUGCUGAAGGAGAGGCAAUCUAGACUUGCUGGAAGCCCCAAGAAAGAGUAAAGGGUGAGGGCUGUAAUGUUAUGGAGGCUGGAGAGAGGAAGUGACGUUUGGAGGCUCAGGCUAGUGUGAGGAAGAAAGUGCAAGUGGGAAGAAGCAAUAAUCAAAGAUACAGUGUUUUCGAGACAGGGUUUCUAUCUUUUGAGACAGGGCUUCUAUCUUUGGAGCCUGUCCUGGAACUCACUCUGUAGACCAGGCUGGUCUGGAACUCACAGAGAUUCAUCUGCCUCUGCUUCCUGAGCACUGGGAUUAAAGAUAUGUGCCACCACUGCCUGGCAAAGACAAAGGAUUUGAAAACUCCCAGACUGAGGGUAAAGAGCUUGGUCCAGAGAGUAACUUCAGUAAAGAUGUGUCAUUUAAGCUGAGGGACUCAACCUUCAGUGGUUAAUUCAGCCAGUGAUUCAGAUGCACAGAGAAGCAGCCAGUCUGAGACUUAGUGUGGAGUUGGACCAUCCUGUCUGCAAAUGCAGUCCAGUCUGAGAGCUAGUGUGCAGCUAAGACCAUCAUGGCAGCAAACUCAGAAGACAAUGGCGCAAGUUCAAAGCUUUCAGAAAGAUCAGUUUUUUUUAUUUAUUUAUUUUUAAUUUCUUUUACGUGACAACAAAGCCUUUCUGGUGUGUAAGGACUCUGGAAGUAUACCAAGUGUCACAGCACUGUAGAUGAGGGAAGAAUCAAAUACAAGUACCCAGGACCAGAUAUGCCAACUCUUAGCAUCUCCACAGAGUGAAGAAGCUGAUAUCAGAAUGAAGGCUGAAGUCACAGAAUAAACAAGGACCGUGGUGUGCUGCUGUGACAACCCAACCUGAUGGAGGGUUACAGACUGAGACACUGACUUUGGAGCCAAGGGAAUGAAGACAGACAGACUUCCUGCUAGAUUUUCCUCAGAACUCACAGCAAAAUUUAGUGAGAACAUGCAGCCAUGAGCUCUAAAUGAUGCGUGCGGUGUGCCAUUCGUCUCCCAGUGCGAGCAUCACAUACAUCUGAGGACUGCAGCUCAGAGCGGGAAAGCCUACGCUUCCUAGUACUCUUCAAAGCCACAAGUCAAGAGCCAGCUUUGCCUGACAUCCCGGCCCCAUGCAGAGGUUUGGCGCUGGUGCCCCUGAUGUCACUGGUAUGAGGUGCCAAGUUCAGAGUCUGAGGGCAGCGAGUCUGGAUUAUGACUGCUGUCACCUUGCCAGAAGCCUUAGCCCCAGCUGACGACCAGAAUUACCUAAGGACUGGUUUGACAUUCCACGUUAUUGAGUUCAUCCUGGAAGCUUAUAAGACUAUGAACAAUAUAGACCCAGGAUGCCGGAUGGCUGUAAUGAGACUGCUCUGUGUGAUCCUGCUCCUGCUGAAUGGGAUGUCAGUGAGAUUACUGGCUUGCAGAAGGGAACAACGGCAGAAAGGUGACAUGCAGUUUUAUCCCGUGUUCUCCCUGAGGCUGGGUAGACGAUGGUGCUGCUGGUAGUACUGGAAUCAAAUCAGAGGAUUUGGGGGAAGACAAACAUAGUAAGAUCAUUUUGUUUGAGUCAUUAAUACAUCCCUUUGGACACAUACAUCCAGUGUGGAGUAAUCUGCCAGCUCACUGAGUUUUAGGUCUGGUAUUUGGGACCAUGAUCUGUGUGGCUGAUACAGGAGUCAGGACUGUGAAUGCUGCAGACAAGGACGGUCGUAAGCAGUGCGUAUAAACAGCUAGCUCCCUCCCCAUUUGUGUGGGUCUCUCUCCAUUCAGAGAAGAGCCCAUAUAAUUAGCUCUGUCCUACCAGUUCUCUUGGGGAGAAGCUGCUCUGUGCUGGCCCACUUUCUAUAGAUGUGGGUGUGACAUCCAUGGUUGCUACAGGUCAUGUUGUUGGUGCUAGGAUCUGUGAGAUUGAGUCACACUGAAACCAGUGACAAUUGUCUACCCAGAGCAAUAACUCAUAUGUCACACACAUAGAAAAGUCAACCCAUUUAGGAGGUACUCAAAAACUGAUCUAAAAAAGAUGUACAGUAAGGAUAAUGAACUGAGAUUGUUUCCCAACCUGUAAAAAUGCUGGGCAAGUUAAUCUCACCCCAAUAUAUUCCGUGUCCUUAUCUGCAAGGGUAUAAAAGUAAGUGCUUUCUCAGAAAGUUACUCUGAGGGUUACAUGAGCACACUUUUGCAUACAUAUAUAUCUAUAUUUGCAUAUAUGUAUGCUCAUGCACAUAUAAACACAUGAUGCUUGGAAUAACCUCUGACACACACACAACUACUUAAUAGCUAAUUCCUUUUGGUCAAAGUCAUGGGCUGUUUUGUGGCCUGUGAUGAACUGAAACCCACAUUUGUACUGGAUGGUGACUAGAGCCUCCUGCCACUUUAUCUUUCUUUGUUUUAGAGUCUCUCCCUACCCUCAGUGGAAAGAGGCUUAGGCUGGGAAAGAAACUACUGGCUAGUGUUUAUUCUCUUCUUCUUGUAAAAUGAUUGCAAAAUUACUUGCUUUCCUGUGCUCCCAGCUUCGCUGUAGAACAAAACAAGCUUAGUGGAUGAUGCUGCAUCCAUGUAGACUCCCAUCAAGACUGUAAUAGUCCACACUUAGGGCUGAGUUCUCAGUUAAAUAUUUCUCUGGGAAUUUUCCCCACCUUGCUCUGGGUUGCUGUCUUUUUCUGAGAAGCCAGCAUCUAACGUCUUGAUGAAGAAAGAGGUAGAAAGGCCCAGACCUCUGUUCUGAAGAUGGAUGACUACCAGAUGGCCACUUGAGACUCUCCCCUUGAAAUGUGAUUGCCAAUCUGCCACUCCCGAGACUCUGUACGCAGAUCUCAGAGAUUUCUGUGAAUCCCAUCAGCAAGGCACCGUGAUACUUAGUACCAGCAAGGUUCCUGGAAACUCCGUCUAGAGCUGGAUGUUAAAGAUAGGUCAUGCAGAUAGGUGAUGAAGACCACAUCACUAGGCACGUGGCCAUCGACAGACUUGGUGUGAAGCCGAGGCCUCGAGGAACCAUGGCAUGGCGUGUGCUGGAAGGAGGCAUGCUGGCAGGUGCAGCAAGCAGUUCAGGCUCCUGGGGCCAGAGAUGGUCAGCAUGAGGUCUUUGGCAUCAGGCGACCGCUGCUGGGGACAUCAACGCCUUGGAGAGGAGAUAAACAAUGAAGUCUGGAGGAUGAUGGAUCACCAAUGUGAGGCAGGCAGUGAGAAACCCAGAGGACCUCUGGCAUCGAAAAGUGACUUUGAUUUAAAUGUGUGAGCACCAAGCAGUACUGGAGCUGGGAGGAACCUUGCCUUUUUGCACUGGUCAGUCCACCACAUCAAGAUUAGGGCUUAGACUGGAAAGCAGUGACAUGCCACGUGUAGAAUCAGAGUUUCUCAGGUAAAUACAUCGUGGGAUUUCUUGGUUAUAUGGCAGUAGUUAGGUUUAAUAUUUAAGACACCUCCACACUGAUUUCUAGAGUUUGCCUGCUGUUUUCUUUCCAGCCAGCAAUGUGUGAGAGUUGCAGGUGCAGCACAGUCCUUGCCAAGGCUUCUGGCGUUCAUCCUCAGGCUUAGCCAUCCCAGCUUCUCUGUAGUAUCCCACUGUGGACUCGGCUUGCAUCUCCCCAGUGAUUAACACUUUGAGGUCUGCUUCACAGGUACAUUUGCUGUGCUAUAACUGUUGGAUUUUGGAUACAGGAGAGAUGGUUCAGCAGUUAAGAGCAGUGGCUGCUCUUCCAGAGGACCUAGGUUCGAUUUCCAGCACCCAUAUGGUGGCUCACAACCCUCUCUAACUACAGUUCCAAGAGAUCUGUAGCUCUCUUCUUGUCUCCUUGGACACUGCAAAUAUGGUACACAGACAUACAUUCAGGCAAAACACCUCUACACAUAAAAAUUGGAUUUCUACGCUUUAUAUUGAGUUGCAGGGGUUCUUUAGACACUUGAACUCUUGGUGAGAAGUGGGAUUUGAGGGCUGGCUAGAUUUUUCAGCAGAGAAGUAUGCUUGUAACCCUAACGACCUGAGCCGGAUUCCUGGGACCCACCUACAGGUGGAAGGAGAGGACCAACUCUACAAAUGUGUUCUCUGACAUCCACUUAUGCCCUGUGGCAUUGUGUCCCCCCAAUACAAAUAUACACAAUAAUAAAAGAAGACAAAAGAAUA
This is a non-coding RNA of Cricetulus griseus (Chinese hamster), 5859 nucleotides long. NCBI's taxonomy places the organism in Eukaryota, Metazoa, Chordata, Mammalia, Rodentia, Cricetidae. The record is from RefSeq and is a predicted model, not a curated record.